RNAcentral lists this ribosomal RNA (460 nucleotides) under uncultured bacterium. RNAcentral describes it as "partial 16S ribosomal RNA". It matches the Rfam family "Bacterial small subunit ribosomal RNA", at positions 338 to 795 of the family's 1533-position model. The record is from RNAcentral.
CCUACGGGUGGCUGCAGUGAGGAAUAUUGGUCAAUGGCCGUAAGGCUGAACCAGCCAAGUAGCGUGAGGGAAGACUGUCCUAUGGGUUGUAAACCUCUUUUAUGAGGGGAUAAAGGUGUCCACGUGUGGAUGUUUGCAGGUACCGCAUGAAUAAGGACCGGCUAAUUCCGUGCCAGCAGCCGCGGUAAUACGGAAGGUCCGGGCGUUAUCCGGAUUUAUUGGGUUUAAAGGGUGCGUAGGCAGGGUUUUAAGCCUGCCGUGAAAUUUUGUGGCUCAACCCUGAGGGUGCGGCGAGAACUGGGGACCUUGAGGGCGCUGAAGGCAGGCGGAAUGCGGGGUGUAGCGGUGAAAUGCUUAGAUAUCACGAAGAACCCCGAUUGCGAAGGCAGCCUGCCGCAGCCUGACUGACGCUGAAGCACGAAAGCGCGGGUAUCGAACAGGAUUAGAUACCCGAGUAGUC